This 253-nucleotide ribosomal RNA is filed under the name uncultured bacterium. RNAcentral's name for it is "partial 16S ribosomal RNA". It matches the Rfam family "Bacterial small subunit ribosomal RNA", at positions 524 to 776 of the family's 1533-position model. The record is from RNAcentral.
UACGGGAGGGGCAAGCGUUAUCUGGAAUGACUGGGCGUAAAGUGUCCGUAGACUGUAACGUAAGUUAAUUGUUAAAUUUUAAAAGCCUAACUUUAAAAUAACAUUUAAUACUGCUUUACUUGAGUUUGAUACAGAAGAGUGGAAUUUUAUAUGAAGGGAUAAUACCCGUAGAUAUAUAAAGGAACUCCAGCAGCGAAGGCUACUCUUUGGCACACACUGACGUUGAGGGACGAAAGUAUAGGGAGCAAACAGG